RNAcentral lists this ribosomal RNA (264 nucleotides) under Bradyrhizobium liaoningense. RNAcentral's name for it is "16S ribosomal RNA". It matches the Rfam family "Bacterial small subunit ribosomal RNA", at positions 46 to 334 of the family's 1533-position model. Lineage: Bacteria; Pseudomonadati; Pseudomonadota; Alphaproteobacteria; Hyphomicrobiales; Nitrobacteraceae. The record is from RNAcentral.
AGGCUUAACACAUGCAAGUCGAGCGGGCGUAGCAAUACGUCAGCGGCAGACGGGUGAGUAACGCGUGGGAACGUACCUUUUGGUUCGGAACAACACAGGGAAACUUGAGCUAAUACCGGAUAAGCCCUUACGGGGAAAGAUUUAUCGCCGAAAGAUCGGCCCGCGUUUGAUUAGCUAGUUGGUAGGGUAACGGCCUACCAAGGCGACGAUCAGUAGCUGGUCUGAGAGGAUGAUCAGCCACAUUGGGACUGAGACACGGCCCAA